RNAcentral lists this ribosomal RNA (555 nucleotides) under uncultured Marinomonas sp. Its description in RNAcentral is "bacterial SSU rRNA". It matches the Rfam family "Bacterial small subunit ribosomal RNA", at positions 1 to 549 of the family's 1533-position model. Lineage: Bacteria; Pseudomonadati; Pseudomonadota; Gammaproteobacteria; Oceanospirillales; Oceanospirillaceae. The record is from RNAcentral.
UUAGAGUUUGAUCCUGGCUCAGAUUGAACGCUGGCGGCAGGCUUAACACAUGCAAGUCGAGCGGUAACAGGAAUUAGCUUGCUAAUUUGCUGACGAGCGGCGGACGGGUGAGUAACGCGUAGGAAUCUGCCUGGUAGUGGGGGACAACAUGUGGAAACGCAUGCUAAUACCGCAUACGCCCUACGGGGGAAAGGAGGGGAUCUUCGGACCUUUCGCUAUCAGAUGAGCCUGCGUGAGAUUAGCUAGUUGGUGGGGUAAAGGCUCACCAAGGCGACGAUCUCUAGCUGGUCUGAGAGGAUGAUCAGCCACACUGGGACUGAGACACGGCCCAGACUCCUACGGGAGGCAGCAGUGGGGAAUAUUGGACAAUGGGCGCAAGCCUGAUCCAGCCAUGCCGCGUGUGUGAAGAAGGCCUUCGGGUUGUAAAGCACUUUCAGUGGUGAGGAAGGGUGUGUAGUUAAUACCUACAUAUCUUGACGUUAGCCACAGAAGAAGCACCGGCUAACUCUGUGCCAGCAGCCGCGAAUCUACAGGCACACGCUAGGGCCAUUCCGG